UCUGGUGAUCAUUUGCCGGAGGAUACACCCGUUCCCAUUUCGAACACGGCCGUUAAGCUCCGAUCAGCCAAUGGUAGUAGAACGUAAGGUUCUGCGAGAGUAGGUUAUUGCCAGAU
This 116-nucleotide ribosomal RNA is filed under the name Opitutaceae bacterium. Lineage: Bacteria; Pseudomonadati; Verrucomicrobiota; Opitutia; Opitutales; Opitutaceae. The record is from RNAcentral.